Molecule: transfer RNA, 77 nt
Filed under: bacterium
Lineage: Bacteria
Also listed under: 8 other names
Description: tRNA-Arg
Rfam family: tRNA
About the family: Transfer RNA (tRNA) molecules are approximately 80 nucleotides in length.
Source: RNAcentral
GCACCCGUAGCUCAGCUGGAUAGAGUAUCUGACUUCGAAUCAGAGGGUCGCAAGUUCGAAUCUUGCCGGGUGUACCA